This 2216-nucleotide ribosomal RNA is filed under the name Staphylococcus aureus. Its description in RNAcentral is "23S ribosomal RNA". It matches the Rfam family "Bacterial large subunit ribosomal RNA", at positions 3 to 2217 of the family's 2925-position model. The record is from RNAcentral. Lineage: Bacteria; Bacillati; Bacillota; Bacilli; Caryophanales; Staphylococcaceae.
UUAAGUUAUUAAGGGCGCACGGUGGAUGCCUUGGCACUAGAAGCCGAUGAAGGACGUUACUAACGACGAUAUGCUUUGGGGAGCUGUAAGUAAGCUUUGAUCCAGAGAUUUCCGAAUGGGGAAACCCAGCAUGAGUUAUGUCAUGUUAUCGAUAUGUGAAUACAUAGCAUAUCAGAAGGCAUACCCGGAGAACUGAAACAUCUUAGUACCCGGAGGAAGAGAAAGAAAAUUCGAUUCCCUUAGUAGCGGCGAGCGAAACGGGAAGAGCCCAAACCAACAAGCUUGCUUGUUGGGGUUGUAGGACACUCUAUACGGAGUUACAAAGGACGACAUUAGACGAAUCAUCUGGAAAGAUGAAUCAAAGAAGGUAAUAAUCCUGUAGUCGAAAAUGUUGUCUCUCUUGAGUGGAUCCUGAGUACGACGGAGCACGUGAAAUUCCGUCGGAAUCUGGGAGGACCAUCUCCUAAGGCUAAAUACUCUCUAGUGACCGAUAGUGAACCAGUACCGUGAGGGAAAGGUGAAAAGCACCCCGGAAGGGGAGUGAAAUAGAACCUGAAACCGUGUGCUUACAAGUAGUCAGAGCCCGUUAAUGGGUGAUGGCGUGCCUUUUGUAGAAUGAACCGGCGAGUUACGAUUUGAUGCAAGGUUAAGCAGUAAAUGUGGAGCCGUAGCGAAAGCGAGUCUGAAUAGGGCGUUUAGUAUUUGGUCGUAGACCCGAAACCAGGUGAUCUACCCUUGGUCAGGUUGAAGUUCAGGUAACACUGAAUGGAGGACCGAACCGACUUACGUUGAAAAGUGAGCGGAUGAACUGAGGGUAGCGGAGAAAUUCCAAUCGAACCUGGAGAUAGCUGGUUCUCUCCGAAAUAGCUUUAGGGCUAGCCUCAAGUGAUGAUUAUUGGAGGUAGAGCACUGUUUGGACGAGGGGCCCCUCUCGGGUUACCGAAUUCAGACAAACUCCGAAUGCCAAUUAAUUUAACUUGGGAGUCAGAACAUGGGUGAUAAGGUCCGUGUUCGAAAGGGAAACAGCCCAGACCACCAGCUAAGGUCCCAAAAUAUAUGUUAAGUGGAAAAGGAUGUGGCGUUGCCCAGACAACUAGGAUGUUGGCUUAGAAGCAGCCAUCAUUUAAAGAGUGCGUAAUAGCUCACUAGUCGAGUGACACUGCGCCGAAAAUGUACCGGGGCUAAACAUAUUACCGAAGCUGUGGAUUGUCCUUUGGACAAUGGUAGGAGAGCGUUCUAAGGGCGUUGAAGCAUGAUCGUAAGGACAUGUGGAGCGCUUAGAAGUGAGAAUGCCGGUGUGAGUAGCGAAAGACGGGUGAGAAUCCCGUCCACCGAUUGACUAAGGUUUCCAGAGGAAGGCUCGUCCGCUCUGGGUUAGUCGGGUCCUAAGCUGAGGCCGACAGGCGUAGGCGAUGGAUAACAGGUUGAUAUUCCUGUACCACCUAUAAUCGUUUUAAUCGAUGGGGGGACGCAGUAGGAUAGGCGAAGCGUGCGAUUGGAUUGCACGUCUAAGCAGUAAGGCUGAGUAUUAGGCAAAUCCGGUACUCGUUAAGGCUGAGCUGUGAUGGGGAGAAGACAUUGUGUCUUCGAGUCGUUGAUUUCACACUGCCGAGAAAAGCCUCUAGAUAGAAAAUAGGUGCCCGUACCGCAAACCGACACAGGUAGUCAAGAUGAGAAUUCUAAGGUGAGCGAGCGAACUCUCGUUAAGGAACUCGGCAAAAUGACCCCGUAACUUCGGGAGAAGGGGUGCUCUUUAGGGUUAACGCCCAGAAGAGCCGCAGUGAAUAGGCCCAAGCGACUGUUUAUCAAAAACACAGGUCUCUGCUAAACCGUAAGGUGAUGUAUAGGGGCUGACGCCUGCCCGGUGCUGGAAGGUUAAGAGGAGUGGUUAGCUUCUGCGAAGCUACGAAUCGAAGCCCCAGUAAACGGCGGCCGUAACUAUAACGGUCCUAAGGUAGCGAAAUUCCUUGUCGGGUAAGUUCCGACCCGCACGAAAGGCGUAACGAUUUGGGCACUGUCUCAACGAGAGACUCGGUGAAAUCAUAGUACCUGUGAAGAUGCAGGUUACCCGCGACAGGACGGAAAGACCCCGUGGAGCUUUACUGUAGCCUGAUAUUGAAAUUCGGCACAGCUUGUACAGGAUAGGUAGGAGCCUUUGAAACGUGAGCGCUAGCUUACGUGGAGGCGCUGGUGGGAUACUACCCUAGCUGUGUUGG